RNAcentral lists this ribosomal RNA (254 nucleotides) under uncultured bacterium. RNAcentral describes it as "partial 16S ribosomal RNA". It matches the Rfam family "Bacterial small subunit ribosomal RNA", at positions 524 to 776 of the family's 1533-position model. The record is from RNAcentral.
GACGUAGGUGGCGAGCGUUGUCCGGAUUUAUUGGGCGUAAAGAGCUCGUAGGCGGCUCGUCGCGUCGACCGUGAAAACCCGCGGCUUAACUGUGGGCGUGCGGUCGAUACGGGCAUGACUGGAGUUCGGCAGGGGAGACUGGAAUUCCUGGUGUAGCGGUGAAAUGCGCAGAUAUCAGGAGGAACACCGGUGGCGAAGGCGGGUCUCUGGGCCGAUACUGACGCUGAGGAGCGAAAGCGUGGGGAGCGAACAGG